GGAUCCAGACUUUGAUCCUGCUCAGGAUGAACGCUAGCGGCAGGCCUAACACAUGCAAGUCGAGGGGCAGCACGGUGUAGCAAUACACUGGUGGCGACCGGCGCACGGGUGCGUAACGCGUAUGCAACCUACCCAUAACAGGGGGAUAACACUGAGAAAUUGGUACUAAUACCCCAUAACAUCAGGACCGGCAUCGGUUCUGGUUGAAAACCCCGGUGGUUAUGGAUGGGCAUGCGUUGUAUUAGCUGGUUGGUGAGGUAACGGCUCACCAAGGCAACGAUACAUAGGGGGACUGAGAGGUUAACCCCCCACAUUGGUACUGAGACACGGACCAAACUCCUACGGGAGGCAGCAGUGAGGAAUAUUGGUCAAUGGACGCAAGUCUGAACCAGCCAUGCCGCGUGCAGGAAGACGGCUCUAUGAGUUGUAAACUGCUUUUGUACGAGGGUAAACGCUCUUACGUGUAAGAGCCUGAAAGUAUCGUACGAAUAAGGAUCGGCUAACUCCGUGCCAGCAGCCGCGGUAAUACGGAGGAUCCAAGCGUUAUCCGGAUUUAUUGGGUUUAAAGGGUGCGUAGGCGGUUUGAUAAGUUAGAGGUGAAAUACCGGUGCUUAACACCGGAACUGCCUCUAAUACUGUUGAACUAGAGAGUAGUUGCGGUAGGCGGAAUGUAUGGUGUAGCGGUGAAAUGCUUAGAGAUCAUACAGAACACCGAUUGCGAAGGCAGCUUACCAAACUAUAUCUGACGUUGAGGCACGAAAGCGUGGGGAGCAAACAGGAUUAGAUACCCUGGUAGUCCACGCAGUAAACGAUGAUAACUCGCUGUCGGCGAUACACAGUCGGCGGCUAAGCGAAAGCGAUAAGUUAUCCACCUGGGGAGUACGUUCGCAAGAAG
RNAcentral lists this ribosomal RNA (895 nucleotides) under uncultured Bacteroidota bacterium. Its description in RNAcentral is "bacterial SSU rRNA". It matches the Rfam family "Bacterial small subunit ribosomal RNA", at positions 1 to 895 of the family's 1533-position model. The record is from RNAcentral. Lineage: Bacteria; Pseudomonadati; Bacteroidota.